This 299-nucleotide signal recognition particle RNA is filed under the name Aotus nancymaae (Ma's night monkey). Its description in RNAcentral is "Metazoan signal recognition particle RNA (ENSANAG00000009193.1)". It matches the Rfam family "Metazoan signal recognition particle RNA". Rfam says of the family: The signal recognition particle (SRP) is a universally conserved ribonucleoprotein. It is involved in the co-translational targeting of proteins to membranes. The eukaryotic SRP consists of a 300-nucleotide 7S RNA and six proteins: SRPs 72, 68, 54, 19, 14, and 9. The record is from RNAcentral. Lineage: Eukaryota; Metazoa; Chordata; Mammalia; Primates; Aotidae.
GCCGGGCCUGGGGGCGUGUGCCUGUAGUCCCAGCUACUCAGGAGGCUGAGGUGGGAGGAUCGCUUGAGCCCAGGAGUUCUGGGCUGUAGUGUGCUAUGCCAAUCGGGUGUCCGCACUAAGUUCGGCAUCAAUAUGGCGACCUCCCGGGAGCGGGGGACCACCAGGUUGCCUAAGGAGGGGUGAACUGGCCCAGGUCGGAAACAGAGCUGGUCAAAAUUCCCAUGCUGAUCAGUAGUGGGAUCACACCUGUGAAUAGCCACUGCACUCCAGCCUGGGCAACAUAGUGAGAUCCUGGCUCU